UACAGAGGUCCCAAGCGUUGUUCGGAUUCACUGGGCGUAAAGGGUGCGUAGGCGGCGCGGUAAGUCGGGUGUGAAAUCUCGGGGCUUAACUCCGAAACUGCAUUCGAUACUGCCGUGCUUGAGGACUGGAGAGGAGACUGGAAUUUACGGUGUAGCGGUGAAAUGCGUAGAUAUCGUAAGGAAGACCAGUGGCGAAGGCGGGUCCCUGGACAGUUCCUGACGCUGAGGCACGAAGGCCAGGGGAGCAAACGGG
Molecule: ribosomal RNA, 253 nt
Filed under: uncultured bacterium
Lineage: Bacteria
Description: partial 16S ribosomal RNA
Rfam family: Bacterial small subunit ribosomal RNA
Source: RNAcentral